UUAUGGGCUCUCUAUCCUUGUAGGCAUUUGGUACUGCGCUAGACAAGAUCCUGCGCAGCCUGACCUGACUUUGAAGUUAACCAUGCCUUGAGAACCUGAUGGGACCAUAUGGCCUGCAAGAGACCUCCCAGCUGGAAUUAUUCUGGUUCUGAUGUGAACCAUUUGGGAAGCAACAAAAGGGAGUAACAGAAAAUUGUUAAACAUUGGGCCACCAAGAUGAUCAGAGGUCGGGAACAUCUUUCAUAUGAGGAAAGGCUGCAGGAACUGGGACCGUUUCAUCUAGAAAAGACUAAAAGACUAAGACUGAGGAGGGAUCUCAUUAAUAUUUACAAAUAUCUAAACGCUCAUAGUUUUUUAACAGCAGCAAUUCAGUGGAUGAUGGUCACAAAGUAUAGCCAGCAUCUUCUCCCUGGUGUCACUAAAGAGGCAGCAGCUGUAAGAUG
Molecule: long non-coding RNA, 443 nt
Organism: Colius striatus (speckled mousebird)
Lineage: Eukaryota; Metazoa; Chordata; Aves; Coliiformes; Coliidae
Exons: 3
Source: RefSeq, a predicted model, not a curated record